This 800-nucleotide ribosomal RNA is filed under the name uncultured Pelagibacteraceae bacterium. Its description in RNAcentral is "bacterial SSU rRNA". It matches the Rfam family "Bacterial small subunit ribosomal RNA", at positions 35 to 883 of the family's 1533-position model. Lineage: Bacteria; Pseudomonadati; Pseudomonadota; Alphaproteobacteria; Candidatus Pelagibacterales; Candidatus Pelagibacteraceae. The record is from RNAcentral.
GCUGGCGGCACGCCUAACACAUGCAAGUCGAACGCAGUAGCAAUACUGAGUGGCGAACGGGUGAGUAUAAUGUGGGUAUCUGCCUUUUGGUUUGGAAUAACAUGAGGAAACUUGUGCUAAUACCGGAUAAGCCCUUACGGGGAAAGUUUUAACGCCGAAAGAUGAGCCCGCACUUGAUUAGCUAGUUGGUAGGGUAAAAGCCUACCAAGGCUACGAUCAAUAGCUGAUCUGAGAGGAUGAUCAGCCACAUUGGGACUGAGACACGGCCCAGACUCCUACGGGAGGCAGCAGUGGGGAAUCUUGCACAAUGGGGGAAACCCUGAUGCAGCGAUGCCGCGUGAGUGAAGAAGGCCUUUGGGUUGUAAAGCUCUUUCGUCGGGGAAGAAAAUGACUGUACCCGAAUAAGAAGGUCCGGCUAACUUCGUGCCAGCAGCCGCGGUAAUACGAAGGGACCUAGCGUAGUUCGGAAUUACUGGGCUUAAAGAGCUCGUAGGUGGUUAGAAAAGUUGGUGGUGAAAUCCCAAGGCUUAACCUUGGAACUGCCAUCAAAACUUUUUAACUAGAGUAUGAUAGAGGAAAGUGGAAUUUCUAGUGUAGAGGUGAAAUUCGUAGAUAUUAGAAAGAACACCGAUUGCGAAGGCAACUUUCUGGAUCAUUACUGACACUGAGGAGCGAAAGCAUGGGUAGCGAAGAGGAUUAGAUACCCUCGUAGUCCAUGCUGUAAACGAUGUGUGCUAGACGUUGGAAAUUUAUUUUUCAGUGUCGCAGCAAAAGCGUUAAGCACACCGCCUGGGGAGUAC